RNAcentral lists this ribosomal RNA (497 nucleotides) under uncultured bacterium. RNAcentral's name for it is "partial 16S ribosomal RNA". It matches the Rfam family "Bacterial small subunit ribosomal RNA", at positions 28 to 507 of the family's 1533-position model. The record is from RNAcentral.
GAUGAACGCUGGCGGCGUGCCUAAUACAUGCAAGUCGAGCGAACAGACGAGGAGCUUGCUCCUCUGACGUUAGCGGCGGACGGGUGAGUAACACGUGGAUAACCUACCUAUCAGACUGGGAUAACUUCGGGAAACCGGAGCUAAUACCGGAUAAUAUAUUUAACCGCAUGGUUCAAUAGUGAAAGACGGUUUUGCUGUCACUUAUAGAUGGAUCCGCGCCGCAUUAGCUAGUUGGUAAGGUAACGGCUUACCACGGCAACGAUGCGUAGCCGACCUGAGAGGGUGAUCGGCCACACUGGAACUGAGACACGGUCCAGACUCCUACGGGAGGCAGCAGUAGGGAAUCUUCCGCAAUGGGCGAGAGCCUGACGGAGCAACGCCGCGUGAGUGAUGAAGGUCUUCUGAUCGUAAAACUCUGUUAUUAGGGAAGAACAAAUGUGUAAGUAACUAUGCACGUCUUGACGGUACCUAAUCAGAAAGCCACGGCUAACUACGUG